UUGAGCCCGAUGAAAGGGAACUUUCAUGUCCGGUUUUGAAAGCGGGGAGAUCCUGUAGAAUCCUAUCUCAGUUAUUUUUUUUUUUGACAAAGGUUAACAAGCCUAUCUCAGU
This 112-nucleotide non-coding RNA is filed under the name Solanum pimpinellifolium. Lineage: Eukaryota; Viridiplantae; Streptophyta; Magnoliopsida; Solanales; Solanaceae. The record is from RNAcentral.